CACUAAUCUUGUGGCCACGUCCCCCAAUACUCUUUCCUUGGCUGCUUUCACUCUGAGUGUCUGCUUUUCUUUUUCUUCCUCUGGAAGGUUCUGACUGUUUCUUCUCUGGAGUCUCUGAUUCUUUAUCACUUAAAGAUCCCAAGCUUCCAAAACUGUGGUUCGAACUUUCAUUAUUUGUUGAGGCUUUAGCUCCAACACUGCAACUUCCAGUACUCCCAGUGCUGCCACUUACUACUCCUGUGAAUCUUGCCUCUAACAAUUCUUGUCUUCUUGGGUCCAGGCUAUGAAGUUCAUCCAUUGCUCCUUCCUUGGGCGGCUUGCCGGGCGGCGCGCCGUGCAGCUGGGAGGCCGCCGCGGAGCAGCCCUGCAGGCUCGGUGGGGACGUGGAGAGCCGGGACCAAGAUGGCGGCCCCUCCAAACUUCCACUGCUACUUUGGACACUCAUCAAGCUACUUUCCUGGAGCCUGGCAGCCGCCGGGGGCGGCGGGGGAGGCGGCGCGGCGGGGGGACACCCAGCGCCGCGCUCAUGGCCGGGGGGCCGGCCCGACACCGGCGCGGGGAGGCCGCCGGCGGGCGGAGGGCUCCGGAGGCAGGCGGGGCGCGGGAGGGACGGGGCGCGGGGCCGGCGCGACCCGCCCGCACCUCUGCACUGCGUCGCCGCGGCCGCCGCCGCCGAGCAGCCGCCCGUGUCUGAGGCUGAGGCUAACCUUCCCCGCCGCCGCCGCCGCCGGGGGGGAGGGGAGGGCGCAGGCGGGGAGGGGUCAUGCGCAAACACGAUCGCGAGCCGAACGAGCGCCGCGCUCCGCCGGCGCCCAGCCGAGCCGAGCAGCGCCGAACCGGAGCCGCCCAGGGGCGGCGGGCGGGAGCAGCGCCCCCGCGCACGCACCUGCCCCGGCCGCGGCCGGCCCCCUCCCCACGCCCCCGCCCCCCCCGCCGCCGCAGCCUCGCUCUCGCUGGCGGAGCCGCGGGCGAACCCUCCGCGCAAUGCUCUCGGGGGGGAGCGCGCCGCGGGCCCCGUGCCGGUCACGGUGCCGGGGCCGCGGGGAGCGCCGAGGCGCGGCAGGGCCGAGCCGCGUGCCAUGUGCCAAGCGCCUCCUCCGCCUGCGCGCCCCGCACCGCGCGCCCUCGGGCCGGAGCGCGGCAUGGCCGCGUCCAAAGCCCGGCUGCUCUUCUUUUCCCUACCGCCAGCGCGGUCUCUGCUGAGAACGCGAGAGACGGGGAAAAGUCAGGUCUGGAACAAAGCCUUUCCAGUUGCGAGCGUAACUUAAUGGUUUCGUUUACUUGGAAGAGCCGUGGCUUACGAAUGGAUCGCAGUUGCAUGCGGGAAUAAGGAUCCCCACGUGCUGGGCACGGCGCUCCCGUACGCUGAGCGGCCCCCCGGCGCCGCGCUCACUGCCCUCCCCCUGGCUCAGGCCGGUGGCACACCGUGCGUGGAGCAGCCAUCGCCGAUUCCUCCUCUUUCUCUACAAGUGACAUCUAUCACAUUAUCUGAGAUCCUCACCGCCCACAACAAUACAGCAUCACUGCAAGCGUCUCAGCAAUUCGGCAUUACCCUGAAGUAAAAAAUCAGUUGGUUUACUUCCUAAGUAGACGUGGCCCAGAACAGCUCUACACGUGUUUGGCACAGAGAAAUGAUGUCUAACCAGGACCUCCUUGCCUUUAAAGACUUACCACAGAAAGGACUACUCAGGUUUUACUAAGCAAAUUACAACAGGGAUCGGCUAGUACUUUGACAUGAAGGCAGUGCAGUAUUGAUACUGAGGAGCUGCUACAGCUCCUAAACUUCCUGCAAGGUUAAAACUCAGCCAUGCCCACGAUCCACACCAGAGCAGAAGCGUGCCUUGUUGCCCGCGGGACAAUGGCUGGUGAACUGAUGGUGGGUUGCUGCCACCCCAGGGAGAAACAGUAUGUUCAGAAACUUGGUGGCCCAUCUGUAUCCACUUCAGACAAACCAGAGCCCUGCUACCUUUAGAAAAACCUACAGAAACGUGUCCUUCCUGCCCACCUGUCAUCGCAGCACUGCUGUGGGAUUGCUGGUUCAAUGGGGCACUACUCACGAUGCAGGGAAUAGUGAAUGACAAGGAAGAUGCCAUUCAUUACUUAGGUUUUCAAUGAAAACCUUUCUUAAUGUGUCAGAGCUAGUGCUGGCUUUCAGGUGUCCCUUUAUUUGUAAAGCUGCAUUGCUUUGGUGCUACCAUUUCGAUCAUAGAAUCAUAGAAUGGCUUAGGUGGGUACCUUUUAGAAUUCUCCAAACACAUUCUAAAAGACUCAUUCUGUAGCAUCGUAAAUGUGCACAAUGCUCUUCAGUCACCAGCAAUGCCUGCAAUCAAAUGUCACUCGGUGGGCAAAGAGGUGACCCCUCACAGCAGAGAGCAGUGGGCUCUGUGCCACACACCCCAAAUGUUAAAAAGGAAAUCUAGCCCAAAUAGUACCAAAUAAUUAUUUUACAUUUUCUUAAAGAUAAUAUUUUUAUAUUAGAUCUUUUUCUUUGCCUUCAAGUUUUCAGGAGCAGAAUAGCCUGCUAUCACUGCUUGCUGGGUACACAGCACCUAUUGGCAUCAGGCCUGACUCAAGGUGGGAGAAAUGGGGAAACCCCACUCAGUGGGAUUGCACUGGACAGAAACAGAGAUGGUGCUGCGUAUCUGCAUACAAGGGAAGGCUUGAUUCCCACCUAGUCCUCAGAAAGCUCAUUGGAUUUCACUACAUGCUAAGAAAGGACCCUGAAAUUCAGAUCAGAACAGAAGGGAGUGAAAUGCUUAUGUGCUAUUUCUCCCAUGCAAGUAAGUCAAACGUUAGCUAGCAGAGGUUUAUCACAGCAGCAACCCUCAAAUCAAGGACACUUGAAGAACAGGAAAACAUUCUGAAAUGACAUUAUUCCAAAGAUGUAAAAAGCUGAGCAACAAAAAUCUGAAACAACAGAAUUGUGAGAGCUUUCAGCUUUGCCAAUGGAAUUACUGUGAUGAAAGUUUCUUGCACAAAUAAACUCACGCUCUCCCCCAAAAUCUUUAGAACAGUAAGAAAAAUUAACUGGGAGUCAGGAAGGAGCUAAAGAAAAGGACUGAUGAGCUGCAUAGCAACAUAAGAAAGACUGCAGCAGGAGAGACCUUCCGUAGGCAUUUGCAUCACAGCUACAAAGAUAGCUGUGCUCAGGUCUAAUGUCAAUUUCUAAACUGUUACAAACAUCUAUUAUACAACAGAGAGACAAUUUCAGGCAUUACAUAUAAAAUCCAAAGCUUACCCCAGAUGUUCAUGUAGAAGAAUAUGCUACAAAUGUGCUACAAUUUCAGAGAUUUUAGUUUUUCCUUAUUCCAUGACCUUCACCUUUCCUGUUCAUAGGCACCAAAUGCGUUUUGGUGUCCUCAUGAGAAAUAUGCACUCUUCUAAUCAAAUAGUACAUGCUCCCAGCAACAGGGUCUCCUAUCUCUCCUUCUGCCAGCAAUACACUAUCAAUUUUCAAUCUAGUGGCUGAAGUUUCGUGCCAGUAACAGAGACUGGGAUAUGUGGGAGUGGUGACUGACCAUGUGGCCAAUGGCGAUCAUGUGACGGAUUAUGUGAAGAAUGUACAUUUACAUAUGAGUUGUAAAUAAGACCAUACUUACAUUAUGUCAAUAAUUAGAAGGGAGCCCUUAAAUUCAUGGGACAAUCUGAAGAAGUUGGGGUAGAAGGGGAACUUGAUUUAGCAGGUUUGUGCUUCUUCUAGGACUGAAGGACAAGAGCUUCCAUAAUUAUAAGUAUAGAUAACACCCCUGGAGAAGUACUGAACCAGAUGCUACCGAACUUAUAUCAAUCUCUGUGUGCCUCAGACCAGGGAAGCGUCAGGAAUCAGAGAUCAUUAGGGUCUUUACUUUGGGAACUUCUAGUCUUUACUUCCUUCACUUGCUUCUUUUAAGAGUUCUGUAAUAUGCUCAACAAUUGCAUUAGAUCUUUUUAUCCUCUCAUAUACAUCUUUAACCAGAAAUAUUACGUUUAUGGCCUUCAUCCAUCUUCUUGGACUUUGAGCAAGCUCCUCAACAAAAAGUGGAGCAGCCCAGCCUUCUUUUUGUCUUUCUCAAACAAGCAAUUCUCUUCACUAACCAUCAUGCAGGUCCUUUCAUUUGGGCCACCAAUUACUUGUGAUGCCAGUAAAAGCGAUGUUCUGUUAUGAAAAUCACAAACUCUUUGUUAGUUCCCUGUCAUCUUGGCACUUCUGGAUCACAGAUGUAUCAGAUAUGUUAGCAGGUGGCCUCAUUUGCUUCUCUCUACUUUUCCAUGAUCUUUACACAGUUUUUCAGACUACAGCACUUUAUGCCAUUGGGAAGGUGUUUUUAUAGCUGUAGACGUAUUUCCUUAAAGGAGAAACAUAAGCUGUUGCAGUGCUCUAUGCUGAUGUAGCAGUAUGUUUGCCAGUGUAUACCAAUUUGAUACAUCCCUCUAUCUAAACAAAUGUACCUGCUCUCUCCUAUCCCAUAUACAGAAGGACACACACACCCUAUAACCAACACCAGCCACCAAUCUGAUUUGAUUAUUGUGGUGGAAAAAUAUUCUCCUAACUAAAAUGGACAUACUGGCACACUGGCUCAAAUAGAAAAUGCCUAAAUUACUUCAUCAUCAAAAUGAUGUAUUUAUGACAUUUCUACGUUAGAUGGAGUGUAGUAUUCUAGAAAAAUAUAACCCAAACUACCGUUCUCUGUCAUAGUGAAUAGCGGAGGUUCACAGCUCACACACUGUCCUUCCCACACCUCACAGAGCUGCGUGCACUGCGGGCUCUCCCCAUGCCACACUGAUGCUCUCCCACCACCAGAGCUGCAGUGCCAACUAGAAUCUUCCAGGCUGCAUCCUGUAGCCCAGGAGAAUCAAAAUGCAGCUUUGGCGUGAGUACAAGGUAAAAUGCCAAGUGACUGUGACAGCAAGUGCAUUACUAUGGUACAACGCGCCUGCAGAUUUAACAGCUUUUGUACCUGAUUCUCAUGUAGCAUUUCCACUUACAAGCAAAAAGGAAUACUGUAAUUAUACUAACAUUAAUUUUCAAGUGUAGUUAAACUUUCCUAAAAUUGAUUUAAAGCAAUGAUAUUUUUAUAGGAAAAUGUUACCCAGAUCUUGAUUAAAUCAAUUUUGAAGCUCACUGAAUUAGAGCUGUCUCCCUGAGCCACACACCACACUAGAUGCUUUAUAAUUUUUUUAAUAUAGCACUUGCUAGCAACUGUGAGUUGCAAGGUAACAAAACCAUACAUAAAUAAUAUACAAGCAAAAAUAUCCUCCCUAAAUAUACCGGCAUAUCAAGAUGAAGAGAAGCCAAAAUGAAAAAAUGGUAUCACAUAAAGCCUACACUCGAGAACACAAACACCAUGUAAGCACAGAUCUAUUUUUAUCAUCCGUGUAAUUGUCAUAAAUAGCGUUUAUCAUAUACCUUCGCUAUCGUCACCUGCAGUCAGACCCGGUGAUCCACCUCUGCUGUGAUUACUUGUACUCAAAUCUCUAAGAAGCCUGCAAACAACUUCCCUUCAAAUCACAACCAAAAAUUAAACUGUGUGCUUAUGAUAGAAACGUUCCUCUCAACACCAGAUUCCCUCUUCUAACUACUAAGACGAUAAGCUACAUUCCAGUUAGAUUUAAAUGUUCCCCAGUGAAGAAAUGAAAAACCCAACCCUGAUGGAUGCUGCAUUCACUUUCUUCUCUCCCACCUGUCUAUUUUCAUUUUCUUCUACUGCUCUUCUUCCUGUAUCCCUUGCAAUCUACUUGUCUGCUGCUCCCUGCAAUUUUUUGCUACACUCAGACUAUUCCUUUUAUAAUACUGUUCUCUGGUAAACAGUCUCCUCUUAUGUGUCAGACUUCCUCUCCCUUUUUUUUAAGCUUGUGCUUUUCCAUACAUCUUUCAUACUUGCAUCUCACUGUUUACACCUUAUAUCUUCUUUCAUGAAGAACCCACCUUGCCUGGAGCUUAUUUUGUUGCCUUUGAUUUUAAGCCAUUAGAUAUGGACAAUGUUUGCAGACAGUCAUGUCUGUAUAUGGUUUCUAAUGGCAAUAGGGCACAUCUUGAUGCUCUGUUCAGACAAAAGUCAUACCAAUUUGAGGCCAG
This 6055-nucleotide long non-coding RNA is filed under the name Gallus gallus (chicken). Lineage: Eukaryota; Metazoa; Chordata; Aves; Galliformes; Phasianidae. The record is from RNAcentral.